Molecule: long non-coding RNA, 22839 nt
Filed under: Triticum aestivum (bread wheat)
Lineage: Eukaryota; Viridiplantae; Streptophyta; Magnoliopsida; Poales; Poaceae
Description: long non-coding RNA (TAES_LNC006661)
Source: RNAcentral
AGAAAGAUCAAUCUAGUUGGCCAAACCAAACCGAUAAUUCGAAGAGUCUUGCAAAGAUAACUAAUAACACAUAAAAGAAUUCAGAGGAGAUUCAAAUAUUUCUCAUAGAUAAACUUGAUCAUAAACCCACAAUUCAUCGGAUCUCGACAAACACACCACAAAAAGAGUUACAUCGAAUAGAUCUCCAAGAAGAUCGAGGAGAACUUUGUACUGAGAUUCAAAGAGAGAGAAGAAGCCAUCUAGCUAAUCACUAUGGACCAGAAGGUCUAUGGUAAACUACUCACAACUCAUCGGAGAGGCCUUGGAGAUGAUGUAGAGUCCCUCGAUGGUCGAUUCCCCCUCCGGCGGAGCGCCGGCGAAGGCUCCAAGAUGGGAUCUCGCGGAUACAGAAGGUUGUGGCGGUGGAAAUAGUUUUUCGUGGUGCUCCUGGAUGUUUUCAGGGUAUGUGGAUAUAUAUAGGCGAAGGAGGUAGCUAGGUCAGGGAGUCACAAGGGGCCCACGAGGGUGGGGCGCGCGCCCACCCUCCUAGGGCGCGCCCUCCUGCCUCGUGGCUGCCUGAUACGUCACUAGCGUAUCUAUAAUUUUUGAUUGUUCCAUGCUAUCAUAUUACCCCUUUUUGAUGUUUAUAGGCUUUAUUUUACAUAUUUAUAUCAUUUUUGGGACUAACCUACUAACCGGAGGCCCAGCCCCUAUUGUUGUUUUUUUGCCUAUUUCAGUAUUUCGAAGAAAAGGAAUAUCAAACGGAGUCCAAACGGAAUGAAACCUUCGGAGGAGUGAUUUUUGGAACGAACAUGAUCCAGAGGACUUGGAGUGCAAGUCAAGAAGCAGCCGAGGCGGCCACGAGAUAGGAGGGCGCCCCCCUGUAGGGCGCGCCCCUUGUUUUCAUGGACCCCUCGGGCGUCCACCGACGUACUUCUUCCUCCUAUAAAAGCCUAUGUACCCCGAAAACAUCCAGGGAGCACCCGAAACACAAUUUCCACUGCCAUAACCUUAUGUAUCCACGAGAUCCCAUCUUGGAGCCUUCGUCGGCGUUCUACCGGAGGGGGAAUCGACCACGGAGGGCUUCUACAUCAACACCAUAGCCCUUCUGAUGAGUUGGGAGUAGUUUACCACAGACCUACGGGUCCAUAGUUAUUAGCUAGAUGGCUUCUUCUCUCUUUUUGGAUCUCAAUACAAUGUUCUCCCCCUCUCUUGUGGAGAUCUAUUCGAUGUAAUCUCUUUUUGCGGUGUGUUUGUCGAGAUCCGAUGAAUUGUGGGUUUAUGGUCAAGUUUAUCUAUGAAUAAUAUUUGAUUCUUCUCUAAAUUCUUUUAUGUAUGAUUGAGUUAUCUUUGCAAGUCUGUUCGAAUUAUCAGUUUGUUUUGGCCUACUAGAUUGAUCUUUCUUGCCAUGGGAGAAGUGCUUAGCUUUGGGUUCAAUCUUGUGGUGUCCUUACCCAGUGAUAGAAAGGGUUGCAAGGCACGUAUUGUAUUGUUGCCAUCAAGGAUAAAAAGAUGGGGUUUAUAUCAUAUUGCAUGAGUUUAUCCCUCGACAUCAUGUCAUCUUGCUUAAGGCGUUACUCUGUUCUUAUGACCUUAAUACUCUAGAGGCAGGCAGGAGUCGGUCGAUGUGUGGAGUAAUAGUAGUAGAUGCAGGCAGGAGUCGGUCUACUUGUCACGGACGUGAUGCCUAUAUACAUGAUCAUGCCUAGAUAAUCUCAUAAUUAUUCGCUUUUCUAUCAAUUGCUCGACAGCAAUUUGUUCACCCACCGUAAUACUUAUGCUAUCUUGAGAGAAGCCUCUAGUGAAACCUAUGGCCCCCGGGUCUAUCUCUUAUCAUAUUUGCUUCCAAUCUACUUUUAUUUGCAUCUUUACUUUUUGCAUCUAUAUUAUUAAAUACCAAAAAUAUAUUUAUCUUAUCAUAUUAUCUCUAUUAGAUCUCACUUUCGCAAGUGGCCGUGAAGGGAUUAACAACCCCUUUAUUGCAUUGGUUGCGAGUUCUUUGUUUGUUUGUGUAGGUGUGUGGGACUUUUGAGGAGCCUCCUACUGAAUUGAUAACUUGGUUCUCAAAAACUGCGGGAAAUACUUACGCUACUUUGCUGCAUCACCCUUUCCUCUUUAAGGAAAACCAACGCAAGCUCAAGACGUAGCAAGAAGGAUUUCUGGCGCCGUUACCGGGUAGGUCUUCGCUCAAGUCAAGACAUACCAAGUACCCAUCACAAACUCAUCUCCCUCGCAUUUAUAUUAUUUGCCAUUUGCCUCUCAUUUUCCUCUCCCCCACUUCACCUUUGCCGUUUUAUUCGCCCUCUGUUUCCCAAUCUCCUCCUCUCUUUCCACUUGCCUUUUCUGUUUGCUUGUGUGCUUGUUUGACCUUAUGGCCUCGCCUAAGGGUUCUGACCACCUUCUCAGAAGGAUGGAAGAGAUUGAAUCAAAUAUUAAAAGAUUUAUGAAUUUGCAAUUUGAGCAUAAUAAUUUCUUUAGAAAAGAGGUGAAGGAAAGGUUUUUUGGGGUUUAUGAACAAAGAGCUUGAUGAUAUGAAUAAAGAAUUUUAUGGUGUUAAUGCUCAAAUUACCCGGCUUGAAAAUGCUAUAGCCAAAAUUUCUGAUAAGCAAGCCACCUUAGUCAAUAAGAUGGCCGCUAAACUAGAAAAGUUAGAUGAAAAUAAUGAUGAGGAUCUUAAAGUUAUUGAUCGUCUCCUAUUAGAUCCAUGUUUUGCAAUAUGAAUCUUGAUGAUUAUGGGACUGAUGAUGAGUCAACUUUACCUAGAAGCCAUCCCAAAAAUUCGAAGUUUUUAGAUCUUGAUGCUAAAUUUGGUAAAAGUGGGAUUGGAGAGGUCAUGACUUUAAAUAGUAUUGAACCCACUAUCUCGGAUUUCAAGGAAUUUGAUUACGAUAAUUGUUCUUUAAAAGGUUGUAUUUCCUUGUUGCAAUCCGUUGUUAAUUCUCCUCAUGCUUAUAGUCAAAAUAAAGCUUUUACCAAACAUAUCGUUGAUGCCUUGUUACAAUCUUAUGAUGAAAAACUUAAUUUGGAAGUUUCUAUACCUAGAAAACUUAAUGAUGAGUGGGAACCUACUAUAAAGAUUAAAAUUAAAGAUCAUGAGUGUUUUGCUUUGUGUGAUUUGGGUGCUAGUGUUUCCACGAUUCUGAAAACUUUAUGUGAUAAUCUAGGUUUCCAUGAUCUUGAUGAUUGCUCUUUAAAUUUGCACCUUGCGGAUUCCACCAUUAAAAAGCCAAUGGGAAGGAUCAAUGAUGUUCUCAUUGUCGCAAAUAGAAAUUUGGUGCCCGUAGAUUUUAUCAUUCUUGAUAUAGAUUGCAAUCUUUCUUGCCCUAUUAUUCUUGGUAGACCUUUCCUUAGAACGAUUGGCGCGAUUAUUGAUAUGAAGGAAGGGAAUAUUAGAUUCCAGUUUCCAUUAAAGAAAGGCAUGGAGCACUUUCCAAAAAAUAAAGUCAAAUUACCUUAUGAAUAUAUCAUGCGAGCUACUUAUGAAUCAAGUGCCAAAGAUGGCACUACUUAGAUCUAUCUUCGCUUUUAUGCCUAGCUAGGGGCGUUAAACAAUAGCGCUAGUUGGGAGGCAACCCAAUUUUCUUUGUGUUUUUUGUUUUUGUUCCUGUUUGUAAUAAAUUUUGCAUCUACUUUCUGUUUAGAUGUGUUUUUAUCUUUUCAUUAGUGUUUGUGCCAAGUAGAACCUAUAGGAUAAACUAUGAUGAUAGUUGAUUUGAUUCUGCUGAAAAACAGAAACUUUGCGCUCACGAGAAAAAAUUCAAUACAUCACAGAAACGUGCUUUUGCAUUGAUUCGUUUUGCUACUGAUCAAUAAACAAAUUGUCCGGUACUUCCUAUUUUGGUAGGAGUUUUAGAGUUCCAGAAGUUUGCGUUAGUUACAGAUUGCUACAGACUGUUCUGUUUUUGACAGGUUCUGUUUUUCAUGUGAUGUUUGCUUAUUUUGAUGCAUCUAUGGCUAGUAAAAUAGUUUAUAAACCAUAUAGAAGUUGGAAUACAGUAGGUUUAACACCAAAAUAAAUAAAGAAUGAGUUCAUUAUAGUACCUUAUGUGGUGGUUUUGUUUUCUUUCACUAACGGAGCUUAUAAGAUUUCCUGUUGAGUUUUGUGUUGUGAAGUUUUUAAGUUUUGGGUAAAGCUUUUAUGGACUAUGGAAUAAGGAGUGGCAAGAGCCUAAGAUUGGGUAUGCCCAUGGCACCCUAAGAUAUUCAAGGAUAUCCAAAAGCCUAAGCUUGGGGAUGCCCCGGGAAGGCAUCCCCUCUUUCGUCUUCGUUCAUUGAUAACUUUACUUGGAGCUAUAUUUUUAUUUGCCACAUGAUAUGUGUUUUGGUUGGAGCGUCGUGUAUUAUAUUAGUCUUUGCUUUUUAGUUUACCACAAUCAUCCUUGAUGUACACACCUUUUGGGAGAAGCCUACUUUAUUAGAAUUUGCUAGAAUACUCUAUGUGCUUCACUUAUAUCUUUUGAGCUUGAUAGUUUUUGCUCUAGUGCUUCACUUAUAUCUUCUAGAGCACGGCGGUGUCUUGAUUUUAUAGAAAUUACUAGUCUCUAUUGCUUCACUUAUAUUAUUUUGAGAGUCUUCUAGAACAGCAUGGUAUUUGCUUUGGUUACAAAUUUGGUCCUAGAAUGAUGAGCAUCCAAGUUGGGUAUAAUAAAAACUAUCAUAGAAAUUGAAUUGGAUGCUAUGAUCAAUUUGUUGCUUGAUAAUUGUUUUGAGAUAUGAAGGUAGUAAUGUUAGGGUCAUGCUAGUGGAUAAUUAUGAAAUUGAGAAAUACUUUUGUUGAAGUUGGCAAGUCCCGUAGCAUGCACGUAUGGUAAAAGUUGUGUGACAAAUUUGCUGCAUGAGGUUCUCUUUUGAUUGUCUUCCUUAUGAGUGGCAGUCGGGGACAAGCGAUGGUCUUUUCCUACCAAUCUAUCCCUCUUGGGGCAUGCGUAGUAGUACUUUACUUCGAGGGCUAAGUAGACUUUUGCAAUAAGUAUAUGAGUUCUUUAUGACUAAUGUGAGUCCAUGGAUAUACGCACACUCAUCCUUCCACUUUGCUAGCCUUUCUUAUUACCGCACAACUUUCGCCGGUAUUGAACCCAUUAUUUACCUUCCUAAAAAUAGUCACCAUACCUACCUAUUAUGGCAUUUCCAUAGCCAUUCCGAGAUAUAUUGCCAUGCAACUUUCCACCGUUCCGUUUAUUAUGACACGUUUCAUCAUUGUCAUAUUUCUCUUUGCAUGAUCAUGUAGUUGACAUUGUAUUUGUGGCAAGGCAACCUUCAUAAUUUUCAUACAUGUCACUCUUGAUUCAUUGCAUAUCCCGGUACACCGCUGGAGGCAUUCAUAUAGAGUCAUAUCUUGUUCUAGCUUUGAGUUGUAAUUUUUGAAUUGUAAAUCCAUAAAAGUGUGAUGAUCUUCAUUAUUAGAGCAUUGUCUCGGUGAGGAAAGGAUGAUGAUGACUAUGAUUCCCCCACAAGUCGGGAUGAGACUUCGGACUUUACAAAAAGAAAAAAAAAGAAAGGCCAAAAAGAAAAAAAAUGAGGCCGAAGAAGAAAAAAGGAGAAAAAGAAAAAAAGAAAAAGAAAAAAGAGAAAAAGAAAAAAAUAAAAUGAGAGAAAAAGAGAGAAGGGACAAUGCUACUAUCUCUUUUUCCACACUUGUGCUUCAAAGUAGCACCAUGAUAUUCAUGAUAGAGAGUCUCAUAUAUUGUCACUUUCAUAUAGUAGUGGGAAUUUUUCAUUAUAGAACUUGGCUUGUAUAUUCCAAUGAUGGGCUUCCUCAAAAUUCCCUAGGUCUUCGUGAGCAAGCAAGUUGGAUGCACACCCACUUAGUUUCUUUUUGUUGAGCUUUCAUAUAUUUAUAGCUCUAGUGCAUCCAUUGCAUGGCAAUCCCUGCUCACUCACAUUGAUAUCUAUUGAUGGACAUCUCCAUAGCCCGUUCAUACGCCUAGUUGAUGUGAGAUUAUCUUCUCCCUUUUUGUCCUUACAACUACCACCAUUUACCACCAUAGUGCUAUGUACAUGGCUUGCGCUCAUGUAUUGCGUAAGAGUUGAAAAAGUUGAAGCGCGUUAAAAAGUAUGAAACAAUUGCUCGGCUCGUCAUCGGGGUUGUACAUGAUGGGAGUAUUUUGUGUAAUGAAAAUGAAGCAUGGCCUAACUAUAUGAUUUUGUAGGGAUAAGCUUUCUUUGGCUAUGUUAUUUUGAUAGGACAUGAUUAUUUUUUAGUAUGCUUUGAAGCAUUAUUAUUUUUAUGUUUUAUAAGAUUUUAUCUUGAAUCAUUUGGAUCUGAACAUUCAUGCCAAAUUAAAGAAAAUCACAUUGAGACUUAUGCUAGGUAGCAUUCCACAUCAAAAAUUCUCUUUUUAUCAUUUACCUACUCGAGGACGAGCAGGAAUUUAGCUUGGGGAUGCUUGAUACGUCUCCAACGUAUCUAUAAUUUUUGAUUGUUCCAUGCUAUUAUAUUACCCCUUUUUGAUGUAUAUGGGCUUUAUUUUACACAUUUAUAUCAUUUUUGGGACUAACCUACUAACCGGAGGCCCAGCCCCUAUUGCUGUUUUUUUGCCUAUUUCAGUAUUUUGAAGAAAAGGAAUAUCAAAUGGAGUCCAAACGGAAUGAAACCUUCGGAGGCGUGAUUUUUGGAACGAACGUGAUCCAGAGGACUUGGAGUGCAAGUCAAGAAGCAGCCGAGGCGGCCACGAGAUAGGACGCCCCCCCCCCUUUAGGGCGUGCCCCCUGUCUUGUGGGCCCCUCGGGCGGCCACCGACGUACUUCUUCCUCCUAUAUAAGCCUGCGUACCCCAAAAACAUCCAGGGAGCACCCGAAACACAAUUUCCACCGCUGUAACCUUCUGUAUCCGCGAGAUCCCAUCUUGGAGCCUUCGUCGGCGUUCUGCCGGAGGGGGAAUCGACCACGGAGGGCUUCUACAUCAACACCAUAGCCCUUCAGAUGAGUUGUGAGUAGUUUACCACGUACCUAUGGGUCCAUAGUUAUUAGCUAGAUGGCUUCUUCUCUCUUUUUGGAUCUCAAUACAAUGUUCUCCCCCUCUCUUGUGGAGAUCUAUUCGAUGUAAUCUCUUUUUGCGGUGUGUUUGUCGAGAUCUGAUGAAUUGUGGGUUUAUGAUCAAGUUUAUCUAUGAAUAAUAUUUGAUUCUUCUCUGAAUUCUUUUAUGUAUGAUUGAGUUAUCUUUACAAGUCUCUUCGAAUUAUCAGUUUGGUUUGGUCUACUAGAUUGAUCUUUCUUUCCAUGGGAGAAGUGCUUAGCUUUGGGUUCAAUCUUGCGGUGUCCUUACCCAGUGACAGAAAGGGUUGCAAGGCACGUAUUGUAUUGUUGCUAUCGAGCAUAAAAAGAUGGGGUUUAUAUCAUAUUGCAUGAGUUUAUCCCUCUACAUCAUGUCAUCUUGCUUAAGGCGUUACUCUGUUCUUAUGAACUUAAUACUCUAGAUGCAGGCAGGAGUCGGUCGAUGUGUGGAGUAAUAGUAGUAGAUGCAGGCAGGAGUCGGUCUACUUGUCACGGACGUGAUGCCUAUAUACAUGAUCAUGCCUAGAUAAUCUCAUAAUUAUUCGCUUUUCUAUCAAUUGCUCGAUAGUAAUUUGUUCACCCACCGUAAUACUUAUGCUAUCUUGAGAGAAGCCUCUAGUGAAACCUAUGGCCCCCGGGUCUAUCUCUUAUCAUAUUUGCUUCCAAUCUACUUUUAUUUGCAUCUUUACUUUUUGCAUCUAUAUUACAAAAUACGAAAAAUAUAUUUAUCUCAUCAUACUAUCUCUAUUAGAUCUCACUUUCGCAACUGGCCGUAAAGGGAUUGACAACCCCUUUAUUGCGUUGGUUGUGAGUUCUUUUUUUGUUUGUGUAGGUGUGUGGGACUUUUGAGGAGCCUCCUACUAGAUUGAUACCUUGGUUCUCAAAAACUGAGGGAAAUACUUACGCUACUUUGUUGCAUCACCCUUUCCUCUUCAAGGAAAACCAACGCAAGCUCAAGAUGUAGCACUGCCUCGCUGCUUCUUGACGUCCACUCCAAGUCUCCUGGAUUGCGUUUGUUCCAAAAAGAUCGCUCCCAAAGGUUUCAUUCCGUUUGGACUCCGUUUGAUAUUCCUUUUCUUUGAAGCACUGAAAUAGGAAAAAAACAGCAAUUCGGGUUGGGCCUCUGGUUAGUAGGUUAGUCCCAAAAAUGAUAUAAAAGUGUAGAGUAAAGCCCAUAAACAUCCAAAACGGGUAAUAUAAUAGCAUGGAACAAUAAAAAAUUAUAGAUACGUUGGAGACAUAUCACCAAGGAAGAAGCAGGAGGGGGCUCUCUCCCCCUCUCUCCUGGUGGCGUCGGAGUGCCGCCGGGGCUAGGAUCGUGACGGCGAUCUACAUCAACAAUCUUGCUACCGUCAACACCAACUCUCUCCCCCUCUAUACAGCGGUUUAACACCCCUUCUUCCCGUUGUAAUCUCUACUUAAACAUGGUGCUCAAUUCCAUAUAUUAUUUCCCAAUGAUUUAUGGUUAUCCUAUGAUGUUUGAGUAGAUCCGUUUUGUCCUAUGGGUUAAUCGUGAUCUUUGUUGGUAUGAUUGUAUAUUUUAUUUAUGGUGCUGUCCUACAGUGCCCUCUGUCUCACGCAAACGUUAGGGGGCCCUGCUGUAGGGUGUUGCAAUAUGUUCAUGGUUUGCUUAUUGUCAUUGUUGCGACGGAUGACAGCAGCCUAAACGCGGAUAAGUGGGUCAUGGCCUAUGGGAGUAAAGAGGACUUGAUACUUAAUGUUGUGGUUGGGUUCACGACCUUAAUGAUCUUUAGUAGUUGCAGAUGCUUUCUAGAGUUCCAAUGAUAAGUGCAUAUGAUCCAAGUAGAGAAAGUAUGUUAGCUCAUGCCUCUCCCUCAUAUAAAAUUACAAGAAUGAUUACCGGUACUUGUUAUAAAUUGCCUAGGGACAAAUGACUUUCUCGUUGACAAAAGCUAUCCACUUUUAUUAUAUUGCAAUUUAUCUGUAGUUUUAUUCUCGCAAAGUACUCAUAGUUUUAUUCUUGUAAAAUAGUUUCAUACUUGUUCUAGGUAAAGCAAACGUCAAGUGUGCAUAGAGUUGUAUCGGUGGUCGAUAGAACUUAAGGGAAUAUUUGUUAUGCCUUUAGAUCCUCGUUGGGUUCGACACUCUUAUUUUAAAACAAGGCUACAAACGAUCCCCUAUACUUGUGGGUUAUCAGGCGGUGAAACUCCCGAUCUAGGUUUCUUUUCGGGGAUUUCUGUACUUAUAGGAAUUUUUCGCGUAGGUUUCACGUCAGGGGGACGGUUCCACAAGUCAAUUACAAGACCGGAGCACCCUCCUAGGGGUAGGGCGCGCCCUCCACCCUUGUGGUUGGCUCGGGACUCUUCUGGACCAACUCUUUUUCUUCGGGGUCUUCUUCUGGUCCAUAAAAAAGCACUGUAAAUUUUCAGCUCAUUUGGACUCCGUUUGAUAUUCCUUUUCUGUAAAACUCAAAAACAAGGAAAAACAGAAACUGACACUGGGCUCUAGGUUAAUAGGUUAGUCCCAAAAAUAAUAUAAAAUAGCAUAUAAAUGCAUAUAAAACAUCCAAGAUGGAUAAUAUAAUAGCAUGGAACAAUAAAAAAUUAUAGAUACGUUGGAGAUGUAUCAGGGGAGGGGAGGGUCCGCCGUGGGGGGUGAAGAAGAAGGUGAAUGCGAUGGGGGAUGAGCCAAGAAAAUAACUACGAAGCGUCCGUCGGCCCAAUAGUGUCCAACACAAUUUCCCAUUGGAUGUCACUAUAAUGGUCAUGUAGUUCGAGGAAAGCGAGUGGUUUGACUAACUAAACAUGGCUAAUGGUUCGGCUUCUUCAAAACCUAGCAUGGCACAUGACAACUAUCUGUUAGUGCCCUUGAUGAAGAGAACGAACACGUCUAUCGGUUAGUAGGCACCAGAAACUGUGACAACACGUCUCGACUAUGCGUGAGUGCGGUUGACUAGGUGCAAUACGACCAUCGAAUUGACGUGACACGAGAAAAUAUACACAUCUAGACAAAAGCUGUGUCUAUCACAUGCUCAGAAACGACUACCAGAAUAGUGCCUUACAUCGGGCAUAAGGCGGCAUGCCAUUUGUCGUUCACUCGGUGAGGUGUCUACCAACAGGGCGUAUCCGUUGGGUGCCACGUCGGAUGGUUUUACCGACAACCGCUGGUCAUUGAUGGUCAUAGAUAACAAGCGGUUUGGCCUCCGUACUUGUGACGGACACGACUAGCGGUUAGUAGUUUCUUGGCAAGGCCAUGGAUGCGCUUAUCUCUGUUCCGCAACUUCGCCGGCGAGUCCGGUCUGAAGUUGCAGAGCAAGGGCGAGCGUCGUAGAUGAAGUAGCCAAAGACGCAAAGCAGGUGGACACGGAGAAGUACGGAGGAGACUAGCUUUAUUAAUCAAUGAUCAAGUGUUAUAAUGAUUGCUCCUUGUUGCUCUAGGGUAGGGGGUCAAGGGAUAAGUACCCACUUAACGUAAAGUGUGGAACCGAGGGGGGGCUAACCCGUGCAUCGCACGUGGCCACCGCCACCAUCGUGGUGGACCCAGUUUCUCAACACUCCCCCUUGGGUAAUUAUCCGUAUAUCCAUGCCUCAAAACUCCAAAAAAAACCAGUGGGAAAAAUAUGGAGAAAGAGCACAUAGUAUACAUUGUUGUAUUGCACAAAUUGCCUCGUCAAAAACCUCGUGUGAGAAACAUCAGGAAAACUCAAGGGAAAAAGAGUACAAUCCACUCAACCAUCAAGUUGAGUACUCGAUCAUCAGGAUCGAGAUUUUAACGACGAGUUUGUGAAGUUUCUCUCCCUGAACCUUGAAUUUCUCUAAGUCUCAUCAUACCGAUUCCAUGCACACACCUCUCUAAGGUUGAUGUCGGUAAUGAUUUCAUGAACAUAUCAGCAAGAUUGUCACAGGACUUAGUGUGCAAAACUCUCACCUCGUUCAACUGUCGUAGCUCAUGUGCAUAGAAGAACUUGGGACUAAUAUGCUUUGUGAGGUUACUCUUCACAUAACCCAUCUGGACUUGUGGAACACAAGUAGCAUUAUCUUCAUAGACAAUGGUAGGGGUUUGUACGGUGUUCAGCCCACAUGUCGGCUGAAUGUGGCCGAUCAUCCGCCGCGAUACACAUUCUUUUGGCGCUUCGAAUAGUGCCAUGAUUUCUGAGUGGUUCGAGGAAGUCGACACAAUAGUUUGCUUGGACGAUUUCCAGGAAAACACAGUUCCACCACAAAGGAAAACAUAUCCAGUCUGCGAUUUGCAAUCAUGCAGGUCCGAUAGGUAGCCAUCAUCGGCAUAGCCUAUAAUAGAUAGGUCUUGAUUCCUUUUAUAAAAUAAGCCAAGAUCUUUGGUCCCUUGCAGGUAACAGAAGACAUCCUUGACACCUUUCCAAUGUCUUUUGGUAGGUUCAGAACUGUACCUCGCAAGCAAACUGACGGCGAAUGCAAUGUCUGGCCAUGUACAGUUUGCGAGGUACAUGAGUGAUCCAAUUGCACUCAGGUAAGGAACCUCUGGUCCCAGAGUUUCCUCCCCCUCUUCCUUUGGCCUGAACGGGUCCUUGUCUGGCUGUAAGGAUCUCCCGACCAUCGGGGUCUUAGAAGGAUAUCCCUUAUCAAAUCCAUAUCUUUCCAACACCUUCUACGUGUAGGCCGACUGGUGCACUAGAAUCCCAUCAGGGGAAUGUUCAAGUUGCAGACCUAGACAGAACUUGGUUUUACCCAAAUCCUUCAUGUCAAAUUCCGACAUCAGGUAGGAACUCGCUUCCUCAAUAUCCUCAGGCGUACCGAUUAUGUUUAAAUCGUCCACGUACACCGAGAUUAUACAGAAUCCAUCUUGGGAUUGCUGUAUGAAAACACAUGGGCAAUCUUUAUUUCUUGUGUAGCCCUUCUGAUGAAGGAAAUCGCUUAAGCGAUUGUACAACAUUCUACUAGACUGUCUAAGUUCGUAUAGUGCCUUCUGAAGUUGAACACUGUAUAGACCCCUAUUUGCUCUAUCAUGGUUCGGAUAGGGAUACAUUCUGGAACCUUCAUGUAUAUGUUUGAAUCCAAGUUACCAUACAGGUAAGCAGUGACAACAUCCAUUAGUUUCACUUUCAAGCCCAUGUUUACUGCCAUCGAGAUCAAUUAUCUAAAGGUAACUCCAUCCAUGACCGGGGAAUAAGUCUCUUCAAAAUUGACACCUGGUCGUUGAUUGAACCCUUGAGCGACGAGCCCUACUUUGUACCAUACUACCUUAUUAUUUUCAUCUCUCUUUUGAACAAAAACUCACCUAUGGCCAACAGGGCGAAUGUGGGGAGGAGUUCGAAAAACUGGUCCAAACACCUUCCUUUUGUUGAGAGAUAAUAAUUCAAUAGUAAUUGCCUCCUGCCAAUCUUUCCAAUAUGACCUUUCUUGCAAUCAGCGAGCGUGUUAGGCUCAGGGUCGAGAUCUAUGAUUGAGGCAAUUUUUGUAGCAAAGUUAAUGUCGACCAUCACUGUUGCUCAGUUUAGGGACUACCGCGUAUAAAUAUAAUUUAUGGCCAUUUCGUCAUGGAGCAAAUUCGGCGCAAACACUUGCUCUACCAAAUUUCCCAUUAUGGGAGCAAGGUCCUUCAGAUUUCCCGCGCCGAUGUGUGCGAUCACAUCUCCGAUGGGUGUUUCCCUUAUGGGAAAGUUUAAGUCCGGAAUUUCAUGCACUGAAUUUUCUGUACUUGUGCCAGGUCUCGGCUGGCUCCCCAUUUCAAUUUGGGGUACUUUGGCGAUAGGCUGUAAUAAUCUCCCUUAUCCUUUUUCGUCGGGCGUCCCCUAGUACUUGGGAUUUGAGAAUCCGGAUUUCUCGUCCUUUUAGGCCUUUGGACGGGAGAGGGUAUACCAUCAUUUUUCUUUGGUAUUUCAACCCUUUCCGGUGCAUUGCGUGCGUGCACAUGCGAUUUUGUCACAGUCUUUAAGUCACUAAAGUGGUCAGGCAGUUGAUUUGCUAAAGACUGCAAAUCUAUUAUUUUGUCACAGUCUUUAAGUCACUAAAGUGGUCAUGAGCAUGGAUCCCCGUGGCUUGCCAUGUGAUUUCUAGACUUUUAGCAUCAAGGGGUUGAUUCUCUCCCCCUAAAGUUGGGAAAAAAAUCCUCGUCAAAAAUGCAAUCAGCAAAACAAGCCGUGUGAUAGUCACCUGUCAUGGGGUCCAGAUACCUGAUUAUGGACACAAUAUCAUAACCAACGUAUAUCCCCGACUUAUGGAGCAGGCCCAUCACCGAUCACUGAGGGGUGGUAUUGGUACAUAUACCUGGCAACCGAACCUACGAAGGUGGGAAAUUUUCGGUGCCGACCCUUGCGCAAGUUGAACAGGAGAGUGGAUGUUGUAGGCCAAUGGUCUGAAGUUGAUGAGAUUGGUUGCGUGUAGUACCGCGUGGCCCCAACAUGUAGUUGGUAAAAUACAACCCUGAAGGAGCGGUCGAGCAAUGAAUUUAAUUCUUUUAAUCAAUGCAUCGGCACAUUUUGUGUAUGAACAUGCAGUACCGAGUGCUCAACUUUGAUUCCCAUUGCCAUGCAAUAAUCAUCGAACGCCUUUGAAGUAAAUUCUUCGGUGUUGUCCAUUCGACCAUUUAGAGGAAGCAUCAAUGAGCACCAUGAAGUACCGAAACGCCCCGUGAGGGGCUGAAUUGGACCGCAUAUGUCCCCUUGGAUACGUUUCAAGAACGCGGGGAUUUCAUCCCUCACCUUGAGGGGCGAUGGCUUAAUGACUAACUUCCCCUUAGCGCAUGCGGAGCACACGAAAUCAUCGGGAUUCGGGAAGUUCUUCACGUUAACAUUCAUGCGAGUUGUUAAUUAUAUUUCUCAUCAUCCUAAGUCCGGGGUGGCCUAAACUAUCGUGCCAGAGGUAGUAGAGUUCAGAGUCUCUAAAGACGGUCUUGAGGGUAGUGUACACGGGCGGUGCUACUAUUUUAGUGUAGUAUAGCCCUGUGUCAAACGAAGGAAGCCUUUCGAUAACAUGUUCACCACCUGCAUCCCGCUUUGUGAUGAGUAGGCACUCCUUGCCGUUUUCAUCAUCGGUCUCAAUAUGGAAACCAUUAGCACGGAUGUCUCUAAAGCUCAAAAGAGUACGAGUCAACUCCGGGUACAACAAUUCAUCAUUAAUGAUCAAAGUUGUUCCCAUAGGAAGUAUAAUAGUGGCUCGUCCGGAGCCAACUAUGUGUGAACCGCAGCCGUCGAUUGUCAUAAUACUUCCUGGAGAUUUUUUAAUGGACUCAAAGUACUUAGUUUCUCGUAAAUGGUAUGUGGGUGGUGGCGCUAUUGGCAAGGCACGUUUCCUCCAUUCGGGCGCCACGCACGUUCUAAAAUAUGACAUCUAAUUACUGCAAUGAGGAAGAAACUACAUUAAAAAUAAAUGCACACAUCUCAGAACAUAACAUACUAUCAUGUAUAAAUAAUGGAAUAAAUGAAUAAAAUAAAUAUCAUCCAAUCGCCAAAGUAAAGAAUAAGUUGAUGCUCUCAUAGAGCUUACAACCAAAUCAAAUUUAUUGUAUCAAAUCACGGAAUCAUGAUAACCAAAGUGGUAUGCUAAGUGGACUCGGUAAAGAAGCCAUUGACUUCAGCCGCAAUCUCCAUACUAGUGAGUUGAUCCUCCUUAGAAAUCAUCUUGGAGGCAGCAACAACAUCUAGUUGCGGCACCGCCGAGGCGAUCCUGUGGUCAACCUCCAUGGCGACGUGGGCAUCAUUAGAGACCGCCAAAGCCGCUGCGAUGGGCACCACGGGGGUCGCCUCUAUGGGUGCAGCAGGGGGCGUAGAGAUCAUCACGGGUGCCGCCAUGGGCGCCAGUGGUGCUCCCUCUUGAACCAAGGCGAGGUGCAUCUCACGCGCCUUCCGAGCCUUAUAUGCUUCAAUGACCUCAUGUGGUGCGCGGCACUGGCGGGAGAAAAGCUCCACCAAGCCACAACGGAAGCAGUCAUGAGGCCUCUGCCCUCCCUUGCCCGGCUUUUGCUGCUUAGCAGGGGCGGAGGGUUGAGGGCCCUUCUUCUUGCCCUUGUGGCCCCUCUUCUUCUUUUGAGGCUUGUAGACUUUGAGAGCGUUCACCUCCUAGCAAGAACUCCCCCCAAGUGGUUGCGCGACAAAGUUCUUUUUCAGAACCUCGUCCUGCGCCUCCUCCACAGGGAGGACCCAAUAAACUCUGAAUACCUCGUGUAGUUGCCUGGCGGUAGUUCCAUGAGGACUGGACCGCGUCAGUGUGGAAAGUGGAUAGGGUUUUCUCAAUCUUCUGGGUGUCGGUAAUCUCAGUACCACACAACUGAAGAGUCGUAAAAACCCGGUGUAGAGCCGAAUUGUACUCCCCAACCGUCUUGAAGUCCGCAAACCUCAGACGGAUCCACUCUGCCUCUGCACGUGGCAUCAUAGUGUACUUCGGCCGCUCAAACCGCUGCUUAAGAGCGGUCCAAAGGCCAGAAGCAUUGCGCUCAGCCAUAUACUCAUCUUUUAGAGUAGGUGAUAGGUGAUGACGGAGAAAAUGCAGAGCCUGCGCAUUCUCAGUUUCAAACUUGGGAGCAGCGGGGACCAGCUAGGUCCCCUUAUAGAUUGCCCUAGGAGGCUUUUUCCCUGGAGAAAGAUCUUGCAGUCCGAGGACCAUGACAGGUAAUUCAGCCUUGUCUAGGCCAACUCAGCAAACUCCUUGUUGACAAUUCUGGUCAUCUGCGAUUUAUGCAAAAAUCAUGAGAUUACAUCAGGUAAUCUAUUGCACAAAUGCGAUAUUCCAUUAUUUAAAACAUGUUAUUAUAUGAUUUACUUAAUGAUUAAGAGUGUUAAACAAUUAAUCUACGGUAGUAAAAUCAUACAAUAAAAACAUGUUUACAAAAUAUAGCAUGUUAAGCGCAUUUCUUACGUGAAAACUAGCCCAAAAAUAGAAUUCCCGAGAAAUUUUUAAGCCUCAAAGAGCAUUUUUAGCAAAAAAAGACAGGUCCAAGGACUUAUACACAAAAUAUUAUAGCAGGAAUAUAGUUGCAUAAAUCUACGGUACUGCAGGGGCUAAAACACAAAAAACUCCACGCUGCAGCCAGCGCCACCUUUUUUUAUACGAGGACCCCCACGGCCGCGGCCCAUCUGGGCCUAGCUGCCAGUGCCCGGAUGGCCCACCCGGCCCUCACCCAAGUGGAGGGGCAUGCUAGGGUUACUAGCGCCCGAGUGGGCAGGGCAGCGGCGGCUGCGGCCACGCCGUGUGGCAGCGGCGGCAGGCUUGAUGGAGAGUUGGUGGAGCGAAGUGUGCUGUUAACAUGUUCCACAACUCCGCCGGUGAGUUCAGUCCGAGGUUGCAGAGCGAGGGCGAGUGUCAUAGACGAAGUAGUCGAACACGCAAAGUAGAUGGAAACAGAGAAGUAUGGAGGAGACUAGCUUUAUUAACAAUGAUCAAGUGUUAUAAUGAUUGCUCCUCGUUGCUUUAUAUAGGGGGUAGGGGGUCAAGAGAUAAAUACCUACUUAACGUAAAGUGUGGCACCGAGGGGGGGCUAACCCAUGCAUCGCACGUAGCCGCCACCACCAUCGUGGUGGACCCGGUUUCUCAACAAUCUCUACUACUUAGAAAACGUAAGGUCUUACGUUUUCAUUUCACCUUUCUUCCCACCACCCUUUCGUCCAACCUUUCAUGUAUAUAAUAAUUAAUCACCUUAAUUUACUUAUCUUCUAAACCAAUUUCACUUUAAUUUACUUACCAAACUUCUAAUCAAAAUACAAGGUAAUUAUCUGGGGGGUGAACCCCGGGCAGGCAACGGAACCCGGAUCCUUUUCAAAAAACAUCGGGGCCAGCGUCGCCCCUCAGUCUGGCUCGCAAUUGGCCGGGUUCAUCAACCGGCCAAGUCCCUCAACCCGGACGAACUAUUCGACCCGACGAAGACGGCGACCCGUCCUGCCGGCUGGCGCAAGCAGACCAAACCCAGCUCACCAAGACUUCCCCAAAAAGCCAGCUCCCCCAUGGUGUAUCCCUCCACCCGGCCACGGGUCAGCCCCCGUCCCAUUCCAGCCGUAUGAUGGGACGACUCUCCAUGACAGGGAUGAGCGAGGCAACAAUGCUCCACCAACUCCUCUGACCAGCAGAGGCGCGGCAACAGUGCCCCACCUACUCUGCUGACCAAGGCCGACAUGGCUACAGCGCACCUGUCGUCACUGUUGAUGCCAGCAGACGGGAAUCGGGCGGUGCACCACUGUAGCGGACUCGACUCGGCCACUCUGUGACGAUCGACAAGAUGGCAAACAGUGCUUCCUGGCACACGGGUCCCACACCCGUAGAACCCAGCGAGCCCUGACACCCGACGGGUCCCAGCACCGGCUUCCCGGAUGAUGACAACCCGGCUCCAUGGCCUUGUAACAUUAUCAUUGUACCCCUUGGGGUUGACCAAUAAAACCCCCCAGGAGCCCUCAUGCAUACGGGCACGCAACACAUGAUCAGACUAGAGACACAUUCACCUACAGGGAGAAGGAGUGGCCUAAGCCUUGGCUUGCCUUCCUUCUUCCUCCAUACAGCUCUAGGAGCGACUCUGUACCAUUUCACAUAAACCACACUCGGCAGGACUAGGGGUAUUAUCUCUCUGGAGAACCCCGAACCUGGGUAUGUCUUCCGUUCCUCACUCGCUCAUACCGACCUCGCCUCUGGAGCCCACCGGUGCCCUCGAGCCUCUUCCUCUCUUUAGCCAUCCUUUGGCAUCUGCAGUCACCCACCACGACAGUAAUUCACGGGUAGAAUUUGAUGAACAUUUAUUUACACAAUCACAUUAUUAUUGACAUGUAAAUCACAAGCUAACGUAUUAGAAUAUUUAUAUCAUGUUGCAACGCACGGGCCAUUUAGGGAAAUAAAUACCAUCGGUCCAUGGACCGACGAAGCAGUGGCGGACAAAAUAAGAGCAUUUCAUCCUGAGUCGAAGGCAUGCGUUGGGUAGGACAUGCGCAUAUGUGUGGUGAGAUCCAGGGGCCCAAUAGUUAGCACCUGGCCGUUUCGACUCACUAGGUUCCAGAAAACAACCUAUCCGCCUCCGUCGCCGCAACAGAUCGAACUUUUUUGGCGCCCUCUUCCUACGGCUCCCCUCCGCCGGCGACCUCUUGGUCAUCGGUGGUGAGGGGGCGCCGGAUCCCGCAUUUGCGGAUAGUUUUAGCUGUAGGUUUUAGGGCCCUAGUAGCUUAGGUUUUUAGAUCGUUCGACGUCUUGGCUUCGGUGGUGGCAACAGUGACGCUGAAUAAAGAAGCUCCGGAUUCUUUUCCGGCGAGGCGAUUGCCCCUUUAGUUGGUCAUGAAUUUUGGAAUCAGUCUAUGCAAGCAGGGACAUCGUGACGGCGACGGCAUCCUUGUGGUGGACUUGUGUCCUUGUGCUCCACCAUUGCGAUAGCGUCUGCUCCAGCAUCAGUGUGGAGCUUGGGGGAUAGUCCAGGAGCGGAUGCAGAUUGUGGUCUGCAUCAAUGACAUCUGGAAAACGGAAUGUGUGCUGGGUUCGUGGUUGAUGGAUGGCAGGUAUGGCUUCCUCCUCCGGCAUCUUAGUCGUGGCGGGGUGCCAGAUCUAGAGUUCGAUGCCAUGCCCGAGGUGUUGCCCUGGUCUAAUUCAUUCAACGGCAACGACUUCACCUUUGGUGAGCCGCCUUCGAGGUCCGCAAAGCUGCAUAUCAGCGAUGGAACCGUGUUGAGCUCGGGUGAGAAGGUUAUCCAUCAUUGUUUUUCUUUGGUGGCUGCUGUGGUGGUGCCGGAGGCAGGAGACGGGUGUUGGUGUCAAGCUUAGAGACGUUCUGUUGUCUUUUCAGUUUUGUCAUGUCGGUCUUUACAUGACUUGUACUUUGAUCUUUAUGAUACGAACGAGACACAUGUUACCAUAAAAAAGUCCUCCAAGUCGAAGCAGCAAGGGCCCCCUCGCCUAAACCCGGGCAUGGGCAGCCCGGCCCGAUGACCCGGCCCAAAAAACCCGGGCCGGGCCGGGCCGGGCUUGACGUUUGGGCUGGGCUCGGGCCUAGUUUUGCAGCCCGGAAGAUAGUUCGGGCCGGGCUCGGGCUUCAUUUUUUAUGUAUUUCGGGCCGGGCUUUCGGGCUUCGGGCCGGGCUUGCACGUGCGUACACUAAAAAACAGCGUUCGGGGCGGGCUUUCGGGCUUCGGGCUUGACUUCGGGCCGGGCUCGGGCUUGAAAACAGGGAGUAUUUCGGGCUUCGGGCCAGGCUCGGGCUUGGGAAAUGAAGGUCGGGCUUUUAUAAGCCCGGCCCGAAACCCGGCCCGGCCCGAUGUUUGCCCGGGUUUACCCUCGCCCAGCAGUCACAGAAGCUAUUCGGCUUGCUUGCCCUACUGCUGGUCUGGUGAUCCCCCCUUGUGGCCAUGCCCAUCUCGUCUAGUAAUUGAUUGAGGUGCACCUUAGGCCAACUGCAAUGCGCAGUCCCAAACGGACGUCUGGUUCGUCCGCUUUUCGUUUGUUUGGGGCAGGAAAAUGGACACGCCCGUCCGCUUGCGGUCGUGUGGGCUUCGGUGCGCCCAAUGGGUCGGCCGCACCCCAAACGGUCUGUGCGUUUGGCCUCGAAAAUAAACCUCCCAAAACCCCAAAUAAAACAUUAAAAACAACAUCGAAAAUAUUAAACUCAUGCACUAAAACGUCUACAUUACCCAAGUUCGACAUUAAUAUAAACAAGAUAAAAAACAUUUAAAAAUAGAAAGGGUCGUCGCCGCCGCCCUGGCCACCGUUGCCUGCCGUGGCCGCCGUCUACUCCUCGUCGCUCGGUGAGGUCGAUGUAUGGAGGUGGCUGCCAGAGGUGGGCUGGCGGAGCCGCCUGCUGUGCCGGCUGCGGUGGCGCUUGCACCACCUCUUCGUGCGGUGGGGAUGGUGACCAAUGGCCGACGUCCACCUCGGGUGCGCACGGCACGAUCUCCGUCCACGUCUAGGACUGACUGACAAAUGUCGGGUUCCACCCCGUCGUCUCCUCCAUCGCGGCCUUUGGUCGCGCCUCCUCUAUGGCAUCCUCCUUCACGUGCGUGUCGAGCUCAGGGAAGGCGACGUCGCCGGCUGCGGAGAGGGCCAGCAUCUCCUUGAGGCCCUCCCAUUGGCGCUCGUCGUGGAUGUAGACGGACUCCUCCAUCACCAUCCUCUCGAGCUCCUCCUGCUCGGCCGCCGACAUUGGCUCGGGGGGUGGUGAGGGAGACGGCGACGAGGUGAAGCCGCGAACCUGCCUGCGGCCACGCACCUGGGGCAUGCUGGGAGCGGGUGCACGGCGGUCAGCGUGCGGGCGACGCGAGCUUGCCGGACGGCCUGCAAAAUAGGACUGUCGUCGGAUGUCGUGCUCGUCGCAGAGCCACGUAUCCUAUAGUGGCGAGUCCACGGCAUACCUCCAGUCGUGGAUGAGGUCCGGGAGGAGGCGGGCGCGGCGACGAUGGAUCUCCUCCCGACGGGCGCGGCUGCUCACUGGCACCAGCGUCAUAGGCACGCAAUCCGCAGAGCGGUGCCAGUUGUUUGGGAGGUGCACGUCUCCCCAUGGCAACGGCGUGCGUGUCUCCCAGUACCGCUGGCACACCUCCGCCUUGACGUACGGCCGCCGGCGAGGUGGGGUGCUGCCCGACGCGAUAUGGUAUGCGGGCGGGGGAGGUGGGGGUGGAGGCGGGGUGUGGGAGCGGCGUGCGACCGGACGACGAGCCGGCCUCCUGGUCGUCCCUUGUCUUGCGGCCGGGGAACCAUCGCCCCACCAUUGUGGCUGGUGGAGAGGGGCGGAGAGGGGGAAGGCUAGGGUUUGCUUGUCGGGGUUGUAGGAGGCAGGCCGGCCGGGAAGUGGAAGCUGUGGACUGGCCGGUCCACGGCUUCCAAUUUAAGAAAGACGACGACCGCAUGAUGUGUGGCUGACAGCCAGGGCCCGCCGCACGUGCAUAUUUAGUUUGGGCGAUGGAGUUAGUUGGGCGGCCGCCACGUGUCGCCGAGGCGAACGACCCGCCAUCGCGUGUUCGUCCGUUCGGCGUCCAUUUGGACGCAAACCGAUCACAUGGUUGCGCUGAAAAUGGAACAGGAUGGACGCCAAACAGACAUAAUUUAAGGAUGUGGCCGCGCGUUGGACCGUGUCAUCUGUCUGUUUUAGUCCAAACGGACGCGGGCGGAUAGAAUGGGGUCGCGUGUUGGAGUUGGGCUUACUAAUUAUUAGAGCGAGCGCUGGUUGUUUGGAUCCUUUCAUCACAAAACGGAUACUCCUUUGUACGUAGUUUUUAUAAGAUCGUUCUACGUACACUUUAGUGAUUUAUAAACCAUCUUGUAAAAGUUUACAGAUGGAGUAGGUACGAUCGCGCGUUCCAUCACCAAGCUGCAUUUGGCAAACAAAAAAGCACUGCACUGCAUGCGGGGCCAUUCAAGUUCAUCUGAUCUAAUGUGCUGCAGAAAGGGCAGAGGGUGGCGACAUGAAACUUCUGGUGGCUUCUUCGCUUUGCAGAGGGAGGGAUGGGGUGGCCUUUGGAUGCUCUUUUGGUUCCUUUCCUUUCAGCUGGACCAAGAACUGCCUCUGACCUGUCCUGCCUGGCUGGCUGGGUGGGGUCACCACAUUGCCACGAUCAUUUUCUGGGCGUUUGGUUUUAGGCCUAGCAAUGUCACACUUUAUCAUACAAUAUUCUUAAACUUGUCUAAGGUUAGUUCUUUAAAAUGAGAGCCACAAGUUAGCAAGCCUAUGGGGUUCUUGCCACACUUUUCGUGUGUAUGUCAUGUGUGGCCUAGUGUGACUUGCCUAAGGUGUGACUUGAACCAAAAACUCACCUAAGUUGGUCAAACUUGUCUAACCUUUUUUUUGAGGAGAAAAAAAAGGCAAUCUUAGUCGCAAACCAAACAGCCUCUCUUUCUUUCCUUUCCUUUUCUUUAUUUCUUUCUUUAUUUCUUUCUUUAGCAACAAGGGAACUACUUUCUUGGUUCCCAAAUAUAAGUCUUUCUAGAGAUUCCAACGAGUGACUAUAUACGAAGUGAAAUGAGUAAAUAUAUACUCUAAAAUAUGUCUACAUACAUCCGUAUGUUGUAGUCCAUUUGAAAUGUCUAAAAAAACUUAUAUUUAAAAACGGAGGGAGUACUUCAUAAAAAAAUCUUUUUGUCAUGGUACUCCACUGUCAGAGUGGUUGAACAGUGCAACUGCGUUACUAGUUUUGAAUCAAUAUAUCACCUUUCUUUUUGGAAAGCUCUGCUCCAUGUACCGUAAGAAAUUCUUUCUGUUAUGUGGCUACCAAACAGACAAUGGCCCAUAGAAAAUAACAUGGGCGGGCACAAGAAAGAUCACCAAACAUGCAGGAAAAUGGACCGAAUACCAAAAGCAUAGCAUAGCAUUGCCCAGAAUUAAUCCCCACCCCAUGCGCUGCAUGGCUGCCGAUUCGAUAAUUAAGACGCAGAGCAGGACUACACCACCACAUUGACUAGUGGAGGACCCAAGUACUUACUGAAACCAAUCCACAGAGAGUAGCAUCCAUAGCAUGGCAAUGGCAUGGCAGCAGAUUAAUCUGACGGACGGACCCAACUCAACUGAAACCAUAAGCACUAGUCUGCACGACGAAGUAGCUAUCUACUAGUAACUAGCUAGAGAUCAUGAUCAUAGAUGAUGAUGAAGUAAACGAGUGAUUGAUAUACUACUUGUAGGAAGGAAGGAGAGCUUGGCAAUGAAUCACGGCCGGCCGUGCAGGUCGGCGUCGAAGGUGUGCGCCCAAGCCACCUCCACCAGCACGUACGCGGUUGCCAGAUAGCCGAGGGCGUCCUCGAUGGGGGUUUCGCUCAGGCUGAUGCGGCGGAGGACCCAGGCGCAGCGGUGGAGGUAGUGGUCGAUGGCGAGCCGGACGCAUGUGUGGGCGACGUGCACGGAGUUGGGGACGUCUUGCGCGCUGUAGUCGCCGCCGUCCACGCUCGGGAGCGCGACCAGCUGGGCGGCGAUCUCGUCGUGCGACAGGCCAGCGUCGAGGACGUGGAGGGCGUCCCUUGCGGCGCCGUUCGAGACGGCGACGCUGAG